CACGUAGGGUGCGAGCGUUGUCCGGAAUUAUUGGGCGUAAAGGGCUCGUAGGCGGUCCGUCACGUCGGGAGUGAAAACUCGGGGCUCAACCCCGAGCCUGCUUCCGAUACGGGCGGACUAGAGGUAGGUAGGGGAGAACGGAAUUCCUGGUGUAGCGGUGGAAUGCGCAGAUAUCAGGAGGAACACCGGUGGCGAAGGCGGUUCUCUGGGCCUUACCUGACGCUGAGGAGCGAAAGCGUGGGGAGCGAACAGG
Molecule: ribosomal RNA, 253 nt
Filed under: uncultured bacterium
Lineage: Bacteria
Description: partial 16S ribosomal RNA
Rfam family: Bacterial small subunit ribosomal RNA
Source: RNAcentral